GCCCAGGUGAUGAAACUGGCAGACAUGUACGGUUCAGGGCCGUAUGGGAGCAAUCCCGUGGGAGUUCAAAUCUCCCCCUGGGCA
This 84-nucleotide transfer RNA is filed under the name bacterium. RNAcentral's name for it is "tRNA-Leu". The record is from RNAcentral.